AAACAUUUAAUUAUGAUAAAAAUAAAACACAAUGGAGCUCAAGAUCACCAUCAGAUUAUAAGGUAGGAUCAAAUUCAGUACGCUCAUAUGAACACGAAAGAUAGCCAUUCGACAUAAAGUUCAAAACAAAAGCGAGAAGACAUAAGAGGAGGUAAUAAGAACAGGAACAUAAUAAAGGAGAGCCAACUACGGAGCCAUAAGCACUAAGCAUACUAAUAAGUGGCGUAAUUCAUCUGCCUUGUCGAUGUACUUCAUAGGGCCGUCUCACACGAACCUGAUACAAACAAACAGUGAGACAUAUAGAAUAGAAUGAUUCCUAAUAUCUUGAACUUUACCAGUAGGCCAAUAAGAAUCAAUAUGGUCCAAGUAAGAAAUGGGCCUUAUCUAAUACAUCAAUCAAAUCCAAGGAAAUUUAUCUUUGUAUUCAUCAUUCCAUCAACCAUUAAUAAAACAAGAGUCUACUGAAGAGUCACUCAGAAACAAAGUUUGUUUGGAUGCACAAAUUGAGAAGCCACCAAACAAUAUAUGAACAUAAAAGUAUAUUUCAUGAUUGGUUUAGCAGCUUAAGAAAGUGAUCAAAUCGUCUCUCUAAACUAUAUCAUCAUUGGCACUAAAAUGCAUAUUCAACAUUGUCGACGAAAACAGAAUACACAAUCCUUGUUGAUAGCUAACCGUGGAUUUAAUAUUCUACAACCUAGACCUCGUGUUAUCAAUGCACAGAACAAAAAAGAACGUAUAUGCAGCUUCAUCACAAAAUACAUGAACGUAUAACAAAAACUCGGCAUAUAGAAAACUAAAGUCUCCAUAACAUAGACCAACGGGAAUGAUGACAGGAUGCAUCGAGAAGAAAGAGCAUUAUAUGUACAAUAAGACAAAAUUACCUUGAUAGGCCUAGUAGCAGUUAUGAAACGACAGAGGUGGCAUCUAAUAGCGCACCCUGCGCCCUUUUUUCCAGAUGUCCUUCCAAGCGGCUGCUUGUGUCUUCCAUUAUGCUCAGCAGAAAAUCAUCGACGACCGAUGCUUUAAAGAAGCAACAAGAUGUGAGUCCACAAGUGAUAGUUGGGUAAGUAACACACAUGCGUGUUAUCAAGCCAUCUACAGGUCAGUUACCAAUCGAUCCAUAUACAUAGGGACCUCAGAAUCUGUAACAAUAGUUGCUCCAUCAAUACACAAUAAGAAAGCAUAGAAGGCCAAUGUUUUUCCUACCAAGCCAUAUGGAUCUUCUGAAAGCACAAGAAAGGAUAUCAUCUUACAGUAGCUAGUUAACAGCACAACAAAAGGGAUUAUAAACUAGCCAGAUCAUAUACAUCUUCUAAUCCAGGGCUUUGUUUAAAAGGGCUUCAAAGGGCAAAUCGUCGACAUUCUAGUUUGCCUUUUUGUUUGUGAUUUACAUCUGCUCAUCCAUAGCUUUGUUGUUGUUUAGGGAUCUGUCUAGGGUUUGCUCUCGUGCUUUUCCCCAACCUCAGUACGCGCCACCACGGCAGGCGCCAGACUCCUUCGACACAGGUCUACCUUUUUCUUUCCUUGGUGUUCGUCUUCUAGAUGGAUUUUAUCCUUUGGGUUACUGCAGUAGAUUAUGUUGUCGCGAAUGACUGUAUUUCAAUAUAUACUAUCCGAGGAUGAUGGCAUAGGUAUAUGAUCUGACUGGUUUAUAAUCCCUUUUAUUAAGAUCAGAUAAGGUUGGGUAUAUCCGAUCUUUACAAAGGGUGAGAAUGUGUAUAAUUUGUGGUUUUUUAUUGGUGCAAUGCUAACUAAAAUGAUAAAACAUGUUGCUUUAGAUAAUACAACAAAUUAUGAAACCUUAGGACACCUAAAAAAUGAAGUAGCAUAUUCUACUGUGAAGCAUUUGACGGUAUCGAUGAAGUGCUUUUGAAUAGAAUAUGAAUUUCCCAAAUGCACCGCUUACCUUGAUUUGCAAUGUUCUAAAGCAAAUAAUAUAAGGUAUUAUGUAUGAACUUUAAUACUGGUGAUAUAGAGAGAAAAUGAACAUGUGCAAGGUUACUGAAUAACCAGUCAAGAACUGAUAUUUGUAUGGAAGUAUGGAUUGAGAAAUCUAACACCUGAACAAGAAGGUCCAUGCUUUAUCAUGUCAAAUAAAUAAGAAGAGAGCACCUCGACAAACAUACACUUAUUGCCAUUUCCUCAAACAUCUUGCAUUUUGCUUAAAAGCGUCACAUAUGUGCAGCAACAAAGUGAUAUGUUCUCUAAGAGCAACUACAAAAAAAUGAAUCUGAAUUAGGGGAGAAGAUGAUUACUGACAUGGAGAAAAAUCAACUUGGAGAGAGAGACCUGAGAUCAUGUAAUUAACUGCGAGGACAACAAUGAAAGUAACAUGCAUCAUUUCUUUCUUCUGCUGUCAGAAUUGAGAU
This 2369-nucleotide long non-coding RNA is filed under the name Triticum aestivum (bread wheat). RNAcentral's name for it is "long non-coding RNA (TAES_LNC014343)". Lineage: Eukaryota; Viridiplantae; Streptophyta; Magnoliopsida; Poales; Poaceae. The record is from RNAcentral.